RNAcentral lists this long non-coding RNA (347 nucleotides) under Malus domestica (apple). RNAcentral describes it as "long non-coding RNA (MDOM_LNC018579)". Lineage: Eukaryota; Viridiplantae; Streptophyta; Magnoliopsida; Rosales; Rosaceae. The record is from RNAcentral.
UUUAGAUUUAUUAUUAGAAUGCACAUUUUGCAAAAAGCAAAUAAACUAAUUCAUCGAUCAAAAAAGCUGCAAAUUAAAAGAAAAAUUGUAAGUCUCAAUAUUACUUCUCAAGGCCCUUGCCGGCACGCCGCCUUUAGUUCCACCACAUCCGCUUCCAUCACCUUCCCUUCCGCCACUCCAUCGCCAUCCACGUCAACAUCCACAUCACUCUCACUAGUAGAGUCAUCAUCAAUGGCCACCGCUCCUACUUCCUCAUCAGGAGCUACCACCGUCUCCUUAAUCUUCUGCCCUGUCUCCUUCACCGCCCCCCACGCCCCUUUCACUGUGCCCUUUGCCGUCUCCGCCGC